ACUCCUACGGGAGGCAGCAGUGAGGAAUAUUGGACAAUGGGCGGGAGCCUGAUCCAGCCAUGCCGCGUGCAGGAAGACGGUCCUAUGGAUUGUAAACUGCUUUUGUACGGGAAGAACAAGGGGCACGUGUGCCCUUCUGACGGUACCGUAAGAAUAAGGAUCGGCUAACUCCGUGCCAGCAGCCGCGGUAAUACGGAGGAUCCAAGCGUUAUCCGGAAUCAUUGGGUUUAAAGGGUCCGUAGGUGGAUGAUUAAGUCAGGGGUGAAAGUCUGCAGCUCAACUGUAGAAUUGCCUUUGAUACUGGUUAUCUUGAGUUAUUGUGAAGUAGUUAGAAUAUGUAGUGUAGCGGUGAAAUGCAUAGAUAUUACAUAGAAUACCAAUUGCGAAGGCAGAUUACUAACAAUCAACUGACACUGAUGGACGAAAGCGUGGGGAGCGAACAGGAUUAGAUACCCUGGUA
This 460-nucleotide ribosomal RNA is filed under the name uncultured bacterium. Its description in RNAcentral is "bacterial SSU rRNA". It matches the Rfam family "Bacterial small subunit ribosomal RNA", at positions 335 to 792 of the family's 1533-position model. The record is from RNAcentral.